This 329-nucleotide unclassified non-coding RNA is filed under the name soil metagenome. RNAcentral's name for it is "partial contains 5.8S ribosomal RNA, internal transcribed spacer 2, and large subunit ribosomal RNA". The stretch from base 1 to 120 matches the Rfam family "5.8S ribosomal RNA", at positions 35 to 154 of the family's 154-position model. The record is from RNAcentral.
GAUGAAGAACGCAGCGAAAUGCGAUAAGUAGUGUGAAUUGCAGAAUUCAGUGAAUCAUCGAAUCUUUGAACGCACAUUGCGCCCCUUGGUAUCCCGAGGGGCAUGCCUGUUCGAGCGUCAUUUCACCACUCAAGCCUGGCUUGGUGUUGGGCGACGUCCUCUUUGGGGACGCGCCUCGAAACGCUCGGCGGCGUGGCACCGGCUUUAAGCGUAGCAGAAUCUUUCGCUUUGGAAGUCGGGGCCCCGUCUGCCGGAAGACCUGCUCGCAAUGUUGACCUCGGAUCAGGCAGGGAUACCCGCUGAACUUAAGCAUAUCAAUAAGCGGAGGA